GAGACGAAAGACCUGUACUCUGAAAACUAUAAGACACUGAUGAAAGAAAUCAAAGAUGACACAAAUAGAUGGAAAGAUAUACCAUGCUCAUGGAUUGGAAGAGUUAUUACCAAAAUUACUAUACUACAUAAGACAAUAUACAGGUUCAAUGCAAUCCCUAUCAAAUUACCAAGGACAUUUUUCACAGAACUUGAACAAAAUAUUUUAAAGUUUGUGUGGAAGCACAAAAGACCCAGAAUUGCCUGUCCUUUCUAUCACUUACUAAGUGAGGGGUAUUGAAAUCUCAGAGUAUGACUGUGAACUUAUCUGCUUUUCUUUGUGGUUCUCUCAAUUUUUGUUUCAUGUUUUUUUAAAUGCUUACUUAUUUUUAAUCAUUUCACUUUUUGGCCACACCCAUGGCAUAAGGAACUUCCCAGGCUGGGGACUGAACCCACAACACAGCAGCAACCUGAGUCACUGCAGUGACAACACUGGAUCCUUAACCUACUUCUACACCAGGGAACUCCCUCUCCUCUCAUGUUCUCUCCUGUGAUAUCUAUCUGCUUUGCUUUCACCAAACUUUCAGCAUUAUCAGUUCAAUUCAAGGAGCCUGGUGGCCUCCACUUCAGUUCCUUCUCCCUGUGUCAUGGCCUGGAAAUUCUUUCAAGGCAGUGACCUGGGAUGUUAUUUAGGCUAAGCACAUGUGUUUCUAGAGAUCAUUGUCCUUCAUUGCCUGAAGUUCUUGUCUUGAAAAUCUUUUGUAGUGUAUUUGGUUUGUUUUGCUUUUGCUUGUUUCAGGUAUGAGGUAAAUCAGUACCUGUUACUCUGUCUUGGCUAGAAGCAGUUUGCAGGAGAAAGUGGUGGGCAUAUGCUGCAGAACUGUCUUCAUUGUUCUUCUUCCCCCUCUGCUCAGUGCUUCCUGCUCAGCUUUCAUCUCUCUGUGUAGCCAUCUCUUCCUUGAGAAAAUCUUUCCUGGACGUAAUCUACAUCAACUUCUGUUAUGUGAUCAUAGCAAUCUCUGUAUUAUAGUACCUAUCUGAAUUUAUCAUUAUUUGUCUUUAUCUUCUACUAGACUUUAAGCUAAACAAGAGUCAGGGAUCUUGUCUGUUUUAGCUGCAGAGCUUAAUAUCAUGCCUUCCAUAUUAUAGUUACUCAAUAUGUAUUUGUUCAAGGUAUGGAUGAGUGAAUGUCCAAAGUGCAUGGUCCUUUAUCUACAAAGAUUACUUGUAUAUUUUAUUUCUAUUUUUCUCUUCUUCUGAAUGCAGAUUCUGUUAGGUCAUUGAAAAUGUGGGAUUCAGUUCUUUCAGUGCAGCACUUCUUUUAUUUCUGAGAGCUCCUUUUGUAGACCACUGAUCUUACUUUCCAUUUCUUUAAUUGUUCUUGUAAAUAUAGCACUGAUGAUGGAGCAUGGUAAUGUGAGAAAAAAAGAAUGUAUACAUGUAUGUGUGACUGGGUCACCUUGCUGUACAGUAGAAAAUUGACAGAAUACUGUAAACCAGCCAUAAUGGAAAAAAAUAAAAAUCAUUAUAAACUUAAAAAAGUGAAAUUACAGAGUAUCAAAACAUGGAGUGGCAAUGAGAGCUCUGUAUAUUAAGGUACUGAGCACCUUGGUUUUAAUAUCUGAAGACAUAUUUGAACUUUUUAAUUUAUUUUCAUGAUGCAUAUAUAAAAGUUUUAUAAUUGCUAACUUACCUUCCAGCGUUUUACAGGGAAGAAAACAUCAUUAGUAUUGUGAAGUAUGGAAUUCUUAGAACAAAUACAAUGCACCUUAAAACAAGAAGAAACGAAGAAAUGCUAAUAUGUUGUAUGAAGAAAUUAGGAUGCAGUUAAGAGAAAAAAAGGAAUAUAAUGAAGUUUAAAUGAAACAGCAACUUGAACUCACUCUCAAAACACUAAACAUGGAAUUAAGGACUGUGAAAAAUAAUCAGAACCAGGAUGGAAUUGCCACAUUAAAAGUGGAAAUAGACACAAUAAAAAAAUCAGACCCAGGAAAAGGAAGAGAAAUAUUUCGAGGACUUUGAAAUUAUAAAAGAAAAGAAUGAUGAACUUCAAAAGACAAUAAACUAAAUAAACCAUUAAUAAAAAAUAAUUUUGCACUACAGUGGACAGCUUAAUAUUCUGACAGCUGAGAAUACAAUGCUAAGGUCUGAACUGGGGAAUGGAAAACAAAAUGAACAACUAGAAACAGAAAUUGAAUCAUACCAUUCUAGGCUAGCUACUGCCAUAUACGAUCAAGAGCAAAGUCAGACAUUAAAAAGAGACCUGGACCUUGCCUCCCAGAGAGCAAAAGAUAAGUGCUUAUGCUUACAGAACAAAAUGAAUUUGGAUGAAAGAUAACAAUGAGAUGCAUUCCCAGCAAUUGUCUAAAACUGAAAGUAAUAAAUUCAGUAGCCUAGAAAUGGAGCUGCAUCACAUAAGAGAUGCUCUCAGAGAAAAGUCUUUGGUGUUAGAACAUGUACAAAGAGACCUAAGCCAAGUUCAGUGUCAGAAAAAGGAAAUUUUACACGUGUACCAACAUGAACAAGGCAAAGUGAAGAAAUACAUGGGCAAGCCAGAGUCCUUGGAGGAGAGAUUAUCCCAACUAGAGAGUGAAAACCUGUUGCUGCCACAGCAGCUGGAUAACUUGCAAAACAAAGUCGACAGCAAAAAGAAAAUUGUAAUUAAUAUCCAGGAACAGUUUCAGGAUACUGUGAAAAAAGUUCAAACUAAAAAUGAAAUCAUUUAACACUGGAGGAAAGCAACAAGAAGUUAAUGAAUGGCUGUGACCAUCUAAAAGAGAAGAUGUAUCAGUAUGAAAAUGAGAAAACAGAGAAGCAGUUGUGAGACAACUUCAAUAAGAACUGACAGAUACCCUAAAAAAGCAGUCCAUGUCAGAGGAAUCACUGAAGGUCAUGUCACGUUAUUGUGCUAACUUAGAAGAUGAGGCAUGGGAUUUAAAGAAGAAAUUACGUCAAAUCAUAAGUCAAGUACUGCUAAAUUUGAAUCUGGAUCCUAUAGAGCUUCUCCAAGAUCUACUGACAAUCAACUUGUGAAAGCAUCCCAAUAAUAGGCAUCUCUGUGCUGCUGAAGAAAAUCAGGCACUUGCCCAAUGAGCCUACUAUUUUUAUUUGCAUCUUUAUUCUUCAGAUGAGGAAUUAAAAUCUCUUGCUAUAGAGGACAAGAUGGCGGAGGAGUAGGGGGACAUGCUCACCCUCUCCCACUAACACAACAAAAAAAGCACAUCUACAGAAUAAAUGACUCACACAGAACAGCAACCAAUCGCUG
This is an RNA transcript of Sus scrofa (pig), 3243 nucleotides long. It is a transcript of the gene named ankyrin repeat domain-containing protein 26 pseudogene, with no coding region annotated. NCBI's taxonomy places the organism in Eukaryota, Metazoa, Chordata, Mammalia, Artiodactyla, Suidae. The record is from RefSeq and is a predicted model, not a curated record.